UACAGAGGGGGCAAGCGUUAUUCGGAAUUAUUGGGCGUAAAGGGCGCGUAGGCGGCUUGGCAAGUGGAGGGUGAAAUCCCUCGGCUUAACCGAGGAACUGCCGUCCAAACUGCUUCGCUUGAGACCGGGAGAGGUGAGUGGAAUUCCCAGUGUAGCGGUGAAAUGCGUAGAUAUUGGGAGGAACACCAGUGGCGAAGGCGGCUCACUGGACCGGUACUGACGCUGAAGCGCGAAAGCGUGGGGAGCAAACGGG
RNAcentral lists this ribosomal RNA (253 nucleotides) under uncultured bacterium. RNAcentral describes it as "partial 16S ribosomal RNA". It matches the Rfam family "Bacterial small subunit ribosomal RNA", at positions 524 to 776 of the family's 1533-position model. The record is from RNAcentral.